This 344-nucleotide ribosomal RNA is filed under the name uncultured Hydrogenophaga sp. RNAcentral describes it as "bacterial SSU rRNA". It matches the Rfam family "Bacterial small subunit ribosomal RNA", at positions 1032 to 1382 of the family's 1533-position model. Lineage: Bacteria; Pseudomonadati; Pseudomonadota; Betaproteobacteria; Burkholderiales; Comamonadaceae. The record is from RNAcentral.
UGACAGGUGGUGCAUGGUUGUCGUCAGCUCGUGUCGUGAGAUGUUGGGUUAAGUCCCGCAACGAGCGCAACCCUUGUCAUUAGUUGCUACGAAAGGGCACUCUAAUGAGACUGCCGGUGACAAACCGGAGGAAGGUGGGGAUGACGUCAAGUCCUCAUGGCCCUUAUAGGUGGGGCUACACACGUCAUACAAUGGCUGGUACAAAGGGUUGCCAACCCGCGAGGGGGAGCCAAUCCCAUAAAGCCAGUCGUAGUCCGGAUCGCAGUCUGCAACUCGACUGCGUGAAGUCGGAAUCGCUAGUAAUCGUGGAUCAGCAUGUCACGGUGAAUACGUUCCCGGGUCUU